GACGAACGCUGGCGGCGUGCCUAAUACAUGCAAGUUGAGCGAUGAAGAUUGGUGCUUGCGCCAAUUUGAAGAGCAGCGAACGGGUGAGUAACGCGUGGGGAAUCUGCCUUUGAGCGGGGGACAACAUUUGGAAACGAAUGCUAAUACCGCAUAAUAACUUUAAACAUAAGUUUUAAGUUUGAAAGAUGCAAUUGCAUCACUCAAAGAUGAUCCCGCGUUGUAUUAGCUAGUUGGUGAGGUAAAGGCUCACCAAGGCGAUGAUACAUAGCCGCUCUGAGAGGGUGAGCGGCCACAUUGGGACUGAGACACGGCCCAAACUCCUACGGGAGGCAGCAGGAGUGAAUCUUCGGCAAUGGACGAAAGUCUGACCGAGCAACGCCGCGGGAGUGAAGAAGGUUGUCGGAUCGUAAAACUCUGUUGGUAGGGAAGAACGUUGGUGAGAGUGGAAAGCUCAUCAAGUGACGGUAACUACUCAGAAAGGGACGGCUAACUACGUG
This 497-nucleotide ribosomal RNA is filed under the name uncultured bacterium. RNAcentral's name for it is "partial 16S ribosomal RNA". It matches the Rfam family "Bacterial small subunit ribosomal RNA", at positions 28 to 507 of the family's 1533-position model. The record is from RNAcentral.